RNAcentral lists this transfer RNA (74 nucleotides) under Bacteroides sp. RNAcentral's name for it is "tRNA-Arg". It matches the Rfam family "tRNA". From Rfam's summary of the family: Transfer RNA (tRNA) molecules are approximately 80 nucleotides in length. Their secondary structure includes four short double-helical elements and three loops (D, anti-codon, and T loops). The record is from RNAcentral. Lineage: Bacteria; Pseudomonadati; Bacteroidota; Bacteroidia; Bacteroidales; Bacteroidaceae. RNAcentral also lists the same sequence under 2 other names.
GGUCGCGUAGCUCAGUUGGAUAGAGCAACAGCCUUCUAAGCUGUGGGUCUUGGGUUCGAAUCCCAACGCGAUCA